UAUGUUGUGGAAAAGUCCAUCCAGCUGUGGUUGGACUUCUGACUUCUUUUCUUCCGGCUUCUUUUCUGCAGUGGAUAAUGGGGUAUCAGACGGACAGAAGGCAAAUGUGUUUCUUUUGGCAAGACACUUUCUAGGUCAGAUAAGGAAAUUCCAGAGAGUCCCUCCAAGGACUUGAGGGGUGAGAGGGAGAGAACGAGACAAGGUUAGAGAGGCCUUGAUGCUGAGGCUUAUUUGUGAGGCCUUUCAGUUUUCAAAAGCACUCAGCAUGCCCAAGUGCCACAUUUUGGGGAAUCAUUUUCUGUACCCCAACACUUAUAUUUUUGGUUUGCUUUAAAAAAAUUAUUUCUCUGGGAUAAAUCCCAGAGGAAAUAAUUGGUUAAAGCAUAUAAAUUGUUUCUAUGGCUUUUCAACCUGAUAAUCAAAAGGAUCAGAAUACUGUUCUAAAGAGUUCAUGCGGCUGGGCAAAGUGGCUCAUGCCUGUAAUCCCAACACUUUGGGAAGCCGCGGCGGGGUGGGAUGGUGGAUCACCUGAGGUCAGGAGUUCGAGACGAGCCCAGCCAACAUGGUGAACCUCUGUCUCUACUAAAAAUACAAAAACUAACCAGGCCUGGUGGCACGACGCCUGUAAUCCCAGCUAUUCAAGAGGCUGAGGCAGGAGAAUUGGUUGAACCUGGGAGGUGGAGUUUGCAGUGAGCUGAGAUUGCACAACUACAUUCCAGCCUGGGCAACAGAGCAAGACUCCAUCUCAAAAAAAAAAAAAAAAAAAAGAGUUAAUGCAAGUGCAAAGUUUAAGGAUGACUGUCCGGGAGACACAGACUCCAGAGGAAUGGAAUCAAUGCUCUGAAAUGGAGAAGUUAAGGUUUUACUUGCAUAGGUAGAAACAAAGAAGUUUAGCAGGAUUACUAAAGUUUAGCAGCCUUUUCCAUACGAGGCUGAUCUAUGAAUUACAGCAAUCUGAUUGGUUGCAGCUUGUUCUUUGUCAGGAAAGGUAUAGUCAACAUCUAUCUUGAGUAAAUUGAUUGUCACAGAGCCUAUUGUGCUAUCUGGUCGGAGUCAGGUACAAGAGAGGAAAGAAGGAAGUUAACCUACAAGGAGAGUCAGUAAUGAGGAAAAAGGGGUCUUUCCUCCAGUGCCCUUUAGUCUUUUACGACAUUUUACAAAAGAAUGUAGGUAUGGAAAAAGUUGAUCUAUAAUCAGAGAAACAGAGGUUGUGGCUGCCUGUUAUGUGACUCAGGUCCCACAGUCACAUUUCCUUUAAGGCUCCAAAUAAAAUUCCAACAGGUUUGUAAGCAGACAGGGAGGGUCUCCAGGGACUAUAGGCAUUUAGUCAACUGGCACAAUAAGCCUGUUUGACAGCCUCCUGCUUUGCAGCUUGUUUUUUCCCAAACCCUGUGUUGAAUGUGGUCACCUAGUUGCUGGCACCAGCUCCUGACAGACCCAGGCAACUUCUAGAUCAAGCUUGUCCAACCGGCGGCCCAGGACGGCUUUGAAUGUGACCCAACACAAAUUCAUAAACCUUCUUUGAACAUGAUGAGAUUUGUUUUUGCGAUUUUUUUAGCUCAUUAGAUACAGUUAGUAUUAGUGUAUUUUAUGUGUGGCUCAAGACAAUUCUUCUUCUAGUGUGGCCCAGGGAAGCCAAAAGAUUGGACACCCCUGUUCUAGAUGAACCUGAGUACACAUUCCUCAUGACCAUGCUGACCAUGAGCUCCACCUCAGGAGGAGCUACACCUUCAUCACCAUCACAGGCAACCUGUGGGCUGGCAUGAUGGUGCCCUGCGUCUGCAGCAGCGGGGCCCCUCGUCCCCUCCAUCACUGCAUAAAACCCUCCUGUCACUUUCCCUCAGGGAGACACUGCUUUGGAGAAUCCUCCCAGGGCUCUUCUUACCUGUGGCGAGUCAUAAAACUCCUACUGAUCCAAACCUGCGUUCUCGUGGAGAGCCGUUUGAGAUUCACCAGAGCAGCAGGGGAGUCGUGACCCCCAGGGGCUCAGUAGAGCAUGAGCCUGGCCAUUGCCAAGCGGCCCGCCCAUGCGUGCUGUGGUUACACGGUCUUCAUGCUGGCUGGGGAGCCCCGAGAACUCGGGUUUGGUUCGUCCUCCAAACACGUGAACACGUGUUGAGCACUGACUGUGAAUUCGGCAGCUGUGAUGGGGGCUGAACUCAGGGCCAAGGAGCCAGGCUCCACUCCACUGUGACACCAGGUGUGGGGCUCGGUGCAGAGCCACACUUUGAACCUGAGAGAGUGGCUGAGCUGGAUGAUUCUCAAAGUGCGCUCUGCGGACCAGCAGCAGCACCACCAGCAGCAGCAUCACCCGGGAACUCAAAGGAAAUGCAGGUUCUCUGGCCUCUGCCGAAUGCACUGAAUCAGAAUCUGCAUUUUAACAAGAUCCCCAGGGUUGAAACCCAGGUUCCAGGCUGUGAGGAAGUCCAGGACACACUGAGAGGUCAUGUGUAGGUGUUCAGGCCAACAGCACAGCCAGGGGCUCAGCUGACAGCCAGCAUCAAUGACCAGAUGUAUGGGUGAGGAGGUCUUCGGAUGACUCCAGGCCAACUCCUAUCUGACUACAGCUACAACUGCACAAAAGAGCCCGAACGAGAAACACUGGCUGAGCCCAGUCAACCCUGGAACCAGAAGAGAUGAUAAUGCCAUCCAGCCCUGAGAUUUGUUUGGAGGGUGACGCGGCCAAGGAUGACACCCACUGCCCCAGAGGCUGGGGGACUGGCAGGUAUAUCUUAGGGUUUGGGGGUGGGAGUGAAGGUCAUCCUGAGGAGAGUCCUUUUUGAGUGUGUUAAGGUGUCUGUGUCCAUGUGGACGGGCUGUCAGAAUGGGCUGGGGGAUGCGGUCAGGGACCACUCCCAUUCCCAGGGCCUGGGUGUCCUGACCAUCCAUGCUAGGUCUGUUCCACGUUGGCCACACUGUUCCAGGCAAGCGCCUUUGGUCACACGGACUGGUCUCUGAGACUGGUCUGAUGUGUGUACUCUCAGGAGCCUGGACAGGGGCAGUCUCAAUCCAGAAAUGACCUCUUCAAUACUUGGUGUAGUUCCCUGUAUGAAACGCCCAAUAUUAUGAGCCACCCAGGCCUGGGUCACCUGCUGACUGGCUGGAGGAAGUGCAUGGGACCAUGUGAGGUCACGGCAGCCCCAGGGUUUGCAGGUCGUCUGCAUCCUGGCUCCCCCGCUUACAAGCUGUUUGACCUUGGUGAGGUUAGAUCAUCUUCCUAAGCUUCAGUUUCUUCAGCCACACAAUGGGUAUAACACUUACCCUUGAGGGUUACUGCGAUUGUCACACAAGGCAGCAUUUGCAUGGGCCCUGGGCCAUGCUAGACAUUCAUCAGGCACUGAAGCUAUGGGGGAGAGAAGUGAGGGGCCCAGGCUCUGGAGCCAGUGGGUUUAAACUCCACUCUACCACUAACAAGACAUUAUUAAAAACUUCUGUGCGCCUCCAUUUCCUCAUCUGUAACAUGGGGAUAAUAAUAGCACCUGCCUCCUGGCUUGUUGAGAGGAUAUAUGUAGUGCUUACAACAGCACAACACACAUAUAUGGGUACUUCACAAAUACAAAUCCAUUCAAGGAAACCAACCCUGGUGCCCUGGGAUGGCCGUUGGUCAGAGACACAGAAGCCGAAGCCAGCUUAGGACAAGCGGAGGGGCCCAGGCCUGCCCCUCGGUUCCGGGGGCCUCACUUCUGUUCCAGGGCUGUUCAGUUACCUGCUCCUAGGCCUGGGAGGCCCAGUGGACAACAGAGUGACCUCUUCUCCACUGAUUUGAUCUGAAUACAUUCUGCCCCAUGAGGGCCCAAAUGAGGGAACUGGUAUGAUAUUCACAGAGAGGUGACAUCACCCGCUGAAGAUCACACAGCAAGUCCCUGGGCCACCUGGAUCCCGGCCACAGCUCCACCCUGCUACCUCCCUCUCUUAAGUAACACAUUAAUAAGUGUCUUACCCUCAGGCCAUUAUCUGUGUUCCCAGGCCAGGGAACAUUUCUGAAACACAUCAAACAUUGACAAAAAGAGGUGUUUUUCUGUCCCCAGGCCAGGCCCUUCGGCCUCUGUUAACCAGUGAGUGUUCUCUGUUAAUCCUGAGCCCAGCUCCUCCUACACACAAGUACAAACAAGGGCAUUGGGCAUGGGAGAAACCUGUCCACCAGGGCCAGGAGGGGACACGGAAGGUUAAUGGGUCCCCUCCCCCAAAGCAAUGCACACAGCUGGGGCUCAAUAAGUGCUACUGGGUGGUAGGAACAGAGCCAGCUGAGGGCACAGGAAGAGGGAUCUGCUAAGCAGAGGAGGCCUGACCUGGGCUUCAUUGGGUAAAACCAGUCAUCAUAAUAAGUAGCUGGCAUUUCGGGAGCUCUUAGUUAGUUCCAGACACUGCCCUGAGCACUGGACAUGGUCACUCACUAACGUUUCCAUGUUUCAGUAUCUGUGGGGUGCAUAUGUUGCUCUCCCCAGUCUACAGACAGGAAGCUGCAGGCAAGAAAGAUGAAGUCAUUUGCUUAAGUCACACCAUUACCAAGAGGCCGAGCUUGGAUUCACACCCAGCACCCUGGCUCCAGACCCAAGCUCUCAACCACAAUACAAGCCUGUGGAGUGGGAGGGGUGAAAUACAUGAGUGAGGGGUGACUUCUAGGUAUUGGCUUGGGGUGGCUGUCCCUUUGAUGGAUAUGUGGGAGGAGCGCAGGUGUCAGGUGAGGUAUUGGGGAGAAGGUGGAUGAAUUGGGUUUGGCAGGUGUUGAGUUCCAGAUACCUGAGGAUGCUCAGGUGGAGGAGGCAGGAGAGAGGCGGCUUAUGGCUCUGAAGCUGGGUGAUGGGGGCUGGAGCUGCUCACUCCAGAGUCAUCAGCGUAGAAGCGCAGCCUGGGAGACACCUGAGCGAUGAAGGGGCAAGGCCACAGCUAAGGCAGGGGAAUUGAUAUUUAGUGUGCAAGGAUUCAAAAUGACAGCAAGAAAAGAAGUGUUUUAGAGACUAUUACUAUUAUUAUUAUUGAGACAGAGUCUUACUCUGUUGCCCAGGCUGGAGUGCAGGGGUGCAAUCAUAGCUUACUGUAACCUUGAACUCCUGGGCUGAAGUGAUACUCCGGCCUCCGCCUUCCGGGACUCAGCCACCACAACCAGCUAACUUUUAAAUUUUUCUGUAAAGACAGGGUGGGGGAG
This is a long non-coding RNA of Homo sapiens (human), 5146 nucleotides long. RefSeq lists it as uncharacterized. The transcript has 4 exons. The record is from RefSeq and is a predicted model, not a curated record. Lineage: Eukaryota; Metazoa; Chordata; Mammalia; Primates; Hominidae.